This 73-nucleotide transfer RNA is filed under the name Caerostris extrusa. Its description in RNAcentral is "tRNA-His". It matches the Rfam family "tRNA". From Rfam's summary of the family: Transfer RNA (tRNA) molecules are approximately 80 nucleotides in length. Their secondary structure includes four short double-helical elements and three loops (D, anti-codon, and T loops). Lineage: Eukaryota; Metazoa; Arthropoda; Arachnida; Araneae; Araneidae. The record is from RNAcentral.
GGGACAGUGGCACAACGGAUAAUGCGCCUGACUAUGGAUCAGGAGAUUCCCUGUUCGAAUACUGGCUGGCUCG